This 644-nucleotide ribosomal RNA is filed under the name uncultured bacterium. RNAcentral describes it as "bacterial SSU rRNA". It matches the Rfam family "Bacterial small subunit ribosomal RNA", at positions 857 to 1510 of the family's 1533-position model. The record is from RNAcentral.
GCAUUAAGUAAUCCACCUGGGGAGUACGUCAGCAAUGAUGAAACUCAAAGGAAUUGACGGGGGCCCGCACAAGCGGAGGAACAUGUGGUUUAAUUCGAUGAUACGCGAGGAACCUUACCUGGGCUUAAAUGUAGAGUGCAUGAGGUGGAAACAUCUCUUUCCUUCGGGACUCUUUACAAGGUGCUGCAUGGUUGUCGUCAGCUCGUGCCGUGAGGUGUCGGGUUAAGUCCCAUAACGAGCGCAACCCUCAUCGCCAGUUGCCAUCACGUAAUGGUGGGGACUCUGGUGAAACUGCCGGUGCAAACCGUGAGGAAGGUGAGGAUGACGUCAAAUCAGCACGGCCCUUAUGUCCAGGGCUACACACGUGUUACAAUGGCCGGUACAACGGGCAGCUACCACGCAAGUGGAUGCUAAUCCCCAAAACCGGUCUUAGUUCGGAUCGGAGUCUGCAACUCGACUCCGUGAAGCUGGAUUCGCUAGUAAUCGCACAUCAGCCAUGGUGCGGUGAAUACGUUCCCGGGCCUUGUACACACCGCCCGUCAAGCCAUGGAAGCCGGGGGUGCCUGAAGUCCGUAACCGCAAGGAGCGGCCUAGGGUAAAACCGGUAACUGGGGCUAAGUCGUAACAAGGUAACCAAGGGCGAA